AGGAUUUUCCUCCUGGACGAGGAAGACGCAAACAACUCUACGAGGUUUUUCUUCCCAGCAUUCUUCUUUGUUUUUAAUCUUUCAGUAUUUUCUUUUUUUAAGAGAUGAAGUCAACUUUCUGGAGGUUGAGGUGUCGGUCUCCAGAAUGUAGUCCCCGGAGGAACGCACGCUCUCGCGGCCUCAAGGGGUGGACAGAGUCUUGGCAAAGGGGGCCCUCGGAGGAUCUACGCCGUUAGCGGAGCUAAGUCCGCGGCUUCUAGGGCAGGAGGGGAGGAGCCUGGAAAGGCAGAGGAAACCGCUGGUUCAGACGCCGGUUCAACGACCGGCGUGGGACCCCCGAGUAGCUGGGGCGGGGUCACCAAGAGGAGACCCGGUGGGAGAGGGCGUGGCGAGCAGGUCGGGCGGGGACUUGUGGGCUCUCCUACUGGGGAGAAAGCGAGAGGCUCUGAGCGUGGGCCGCGGCGCGAGAGGGAGGUACCACGACUUAAUACUUCUGACUGGCCCGACGCGGGGGCGAGUGCAGAGAAGCGGAAAGGCCGGUGAGGAAAGGGGGAUUGCGUUCUCCCAGGAAAGAGAUAGUGAGCGCUUGGGCCCGGGGUUGUGGCAGUGCAGGGGGUGCGCAGUGGCCAGAUUCUGGUUGUAUUUUGAAAGUAGAGCCGCCGGCAUUUGCGGACAAUCGGGGAACAUAUGGGUGUGAAAGAGAAGAGUGGACGGUGACUCCAGCGGUUCUGGCCAGAGCUACUGGAAGGAAGGACACGGUUGUCAUAUUCUGAGUUGGGCGAGGACCAAGUUUGUCGAGGAGGCUGGAGGUGGAGGCGGAGCGAGGUGCGUGUUGCCCUGUUUGCAGCUCAGUUUAGGAGAGCACAAGCUAGAGAUGGCGCCCCAGAGAGUCAAGAGGAGGUGGCAGGUAGGCAGCUGGGUGUACCAGGCUGGACUGCAGCCUGGAGCUAUUUUGAGGACUGUCAGCAGAGAAGUGAGGACCCUCGGCCAGGAGUUGGGAGGAGCUCCCCAAGGGAGAGGGUGUCCAUCCGGCACAAGUAGAAGGGCGGAGCCGAGGCAUGAGCCCACAGUCAAGGACAUUAGAAGGACAGGCAGAAGGAAAAUCUGGAGAGCAAGGUGUUCUGGAAACCAAGCCCAGAAGGUAUUUCAAGAACGAGGGACCGCCCAACCCAGUAGAGAGCUGCUGAAGGAUUCCGGUGAGGUGGGGGGAUUGGAGAUGGACCUUGAGGAGAGCAGUGCACAAGAGACUGACUGGGGCAGGUUCAAAAGAGGGCAAGAUCCAAACCCAGGGUCAUUCUACAGAAUAAGUAUCCUGCAGUCUUCAAAGAAAGUGCCGGUUGUGAAAGACGGCGCAAAGGCAGAAGGGCACGGAACGAGAAUUGGCAACUAAAUGCAGCAAGGGAUUCCAGACUGGGUCCUGGGCCCGGAAAACAAAUCUCUCUAAAGGACGCUUUGGGAUAGCUGGAGAAAUCUGAACUUGGGAGUGUAGCUUAUAGUAUGGUGUUCAUGUCAAACUUCCAGAUGGCCAUGUUCCCAGGAAACACACACUUAAGUUUAUCUGGGGGGUGAAGGGACAUUGCAUGUGCAACCUACAAGUGGUUCAAUAAAGAAAAAUAUAUGGGUGGGUGUGUGUGCGUGGGUGUGUGUUUGGGGGGAGAAUAUUAUAAAAGGAGAGAGUUAUAAAGCAAAAUGUGGCCCUGUUGACGGUUGGCAGACCUGGGUAAAGGGUACGGAGAAAUUCUCUGUAUAACUCUUGUAACUUCCGUGUGUGUGUGUGUGUGUGUGUGUGUGUGUGUGUUUUGAAUGGGAGAUUGAACGGGGGCGGGGCGGGUCGCUUUACCAAUGAGCCAUAUCCCCAGCCCUUUGUUGAGACAGGGUUUCACUGAGUUACUUAGAGCCUCGCUCAAAUGCUGAGAAUGACCUGGAACUUGCUGUCCUCCUGCCUCAGCUUCCUGAGCCGCUGGGAUUACAGGAAUGCGCCACCACACCCCGCCAAGUGUGAAGUUAUUUUAAGAUUAUUUCAAUAAUGUAGAGAGAGGAUGAGAGGAAAGUUGGGAGGGAAAAAUAUAGACGACUGUUUGUGUUAUGGGCCAGGCUACAUGGGAAUGACCAAACAGACUUCAUUUUACUCUGAGACUCAUGUCAUAUAAGAAAUGCUUGUCCCAUGNCCCUGGGUUAAAUCCCCAGCACCACACACAGACACAAAAACAAACAAACAAACAAAAAAACAUGUUUUAUAGAAACCAAGACUCUAUUGUUUGAUCACCUAGAGAAAAGUGUGGGUUAAUAAUUGUAAAUACAUUUUUAUUUUGAUAUGCUUAAACCAAUUUAAAUUGAAUUUUUAAAGAAUGUUAUGUGGACUAAAAAGUAUUUGGGUCCAUGUAUUAAAUUUAAAAGUACAUUUAUUUAUAAUCCAAUAUUGAUACCACAUGCAUGACACACACAACAUAAUGCACAGAUGUAUAAAAGUACAUAUAAAACAAACAUGAAACAAAUAUUUUAUAGCUUUUUCUUGAGGACUAAAAACUCCAGUUGGACAAAAAAGACUAAUUGGAACAAAAUGUAUUAAUUUAGGCAUGCAGGACCAAAUGUGAAUUGAUCAUAGAAACUAUGAGCUUACACAAGACAGAGGUUUUGAAUAAAAAAUGACAUGGCCAUAAUUAUUCCCAAGCUGUUAUUAUUGUCCUUCAAAUUAUUCCUCGUCCUUCUGACCAUAACAAAAUGUGAAUAUUGUUUUGGUAGUGCUCUAGUUAUUUCCUUAGCUUGGAUAAUGAAGGAUACAGGGCAGGUGGAGGAGUAGGAGCCACUGUAGCUGGCUUAGAGUUCCUUCUCCCCUCAUUGUUGGCAUCAUUCCCAGAAGCAGAAGUCAGGGAAUUUUGACCAUGAGGAGGCUUAAAGUUUGAGUUGGAACACUGAAGGCAUUUGGAACGCUUCUUUUUUUUUUUCUCCAUCUCCCUCUACCUCCAAGGCCUCCAAUUGUAAGAUCUGUGGGAUCUAGAGGGCUAUUUAAAACUCAGUUGCCUCUUCACUUCAACACACACUUUUUUUUUUUAAGAGAGAGAGAGAGAAUUAUUUUUAAUAUUUAUUUUUUAGUUUUCGGCGGACACACAACAUCUUUGUUUGUACGUGGUGCUGAGGAUCGAACCUGGGCCACACGCGUGCCAGGCGAGCGCGCUACCGCUUGAGCCACAUCCCCAGCCCUGGAACGCUUCUUGAGUCUAAAUAAAACAACAGUAUUUCAUCCUCUCUUGGGUUCUUUUUCCCUUUUAACCUGUGGGAGGCCAACCUUAAGGGUGACUGAGUUACACUCCCCAGCUGGGUGCUGAAGCGCUCAGUCACAGAAAUGUGUGUGUCUUGCUGCAAGCCCCAUGGGUGAAGCUAUGCUCACCUGUUCCUUUGUAAUAGAACUCCUUGCCCUGUUUAGGAUAGAAUCUCCAUGGAAGUGCCUUGUGUGUGUCCCCUUCUCUUACUGUGCCCUUGGGUGUGGCCUACCCAGGUGUCAGUCAACCUGCUGACAGUGGACAUCAUGAAGAUAGACUCAGCCCCCUGAAACCUGACCCCUUGCCUCAUUUGAAUAGCUUCUCCUCAAUAAAAGGGGUCAGCGAGUGCUCUCGCUCUCUCUCUCUCUCUCUCUCUCUCUCUUUCUGCGGACCCUGAAGGUCAGAGGAGCCGUCACAGCAACCCCAAAGAAAAAGGUAUUUGUGUCUCUUGUGUGGUUAUUUCGUGCAGCCCAGUUAGCCCAGUUUAACUAGAGUGACCCCUGAGCCUUUUAGUCGCGAGAACAGAAACCAGGCAUUAACCUAGAUUUUUUUUUUUUUUUUUUUUUUUUUUGGUACCAAGGAUUGAUCUCAGGGGCACUUGACCACUGAGCCACAUCCCCAGCCCCUCUUUGUAUUUUAUUAGAGACAAUGUCUCGAUGAAUUGCUUAGGGCCUGCUAAGUUGCUGCAGCUGGCUUUGAACUCAUGCUCCUCCUGCCUCAGCCUCCUGAGCUUCUGGGAUUAUAGGCAAGCACUGCUGCACCUGAUUUAUCCUAGGACUUUCAAAAAAUGUUUUAACAAAGGGCUAUCUGGGGAAGUUUUGGGUCUUCCCCUGCCAGCAUCCUCUGUCUCUAGACCAGAUAUAAGUUUUCAAGCUGAGCUGCCCGUUAUAUUCUCACUCUGAUGAAGACAUGAAUUAGUGUGAAUAUACUUUGUAUACAACCAGAGAUAUGAAAAAUUGUGCUUCUAUAUGUGGAAUAAGAAUUGUAAUGUAUUCUGCUGUCAUACAUAAAUUUUAAAAAAUAGGGCUGGGGAUGUGGCUCAAGCAGUAGCAUGCUCACCUGGCAUGCGUGCCGCCCGGGUUCGAUCCUCAGCACCACAUACAAACGAAGAUGUUGUGUUCGCCGAAAACUAAAAAAUAAAUAUUAAAAAAAAAUUUUUUUAAAAAUAGUAAAAAAAAAAAAAAAAGUUCCCACUCUGAAAUGGUGUCACACUAUGAGGAUCACACACCUUUGUCCGCCUGACCACUCUCUUUCCAGACAUGUAGGUGCCUCUCAGCAUCAAUGGCAAGUCCGUAUAAGCCCCUGACAGACCAACCCUGCAGAGAGGGACUUUUGAUCCUCUAGGGGUUAGCACUGCCUUAAGCCUUAUGAGGUCACCAAGGAACUGCAGGUUAAGACUCACUCAGGCUCUGUAGCCUGAGGAAGGUAGAGCAUGAAUACACACACACACACACAGACACACACCCCAGAACUAACAAACAGACCUCCUGCAUAAGCAAACCCUGUUCUGAGGGAUACUCCUGAUGCUGGGGAGCAAUCAGUUUCCCCUUCUGCCAUAGGGUGGGACCUGACUUGGGCAGAUGCCCCCAGAGGACUUAUGGGUUUACAAUAUCCGAUCAUGAAACUUGCUUUCGUUCUCUUUGAGUUUGUUCAGGAAAUAGUGAGGCCAGCCUCACUCAAGUGAGAGUUGGGAUUCUGCAGGUGGCCAGGUGGUGACUAUCUGUCACCAGGCUGGUGGCUGUGGCUUUCUCUAGUUUCCCAAUAUCAGUGGCAAAAAGGGCCAGCUCAAUUGCCAUUUUCCUAGCCAACUCACCAACAUAUGUUACAUAAAAUUGUGGCACUGGAAAGACAAGCAGCAUUUGGGAACACAGAAGAGCAAGAUUUAUUCAGCACUGCUGAGGGCUCAGUGGAAUCUUUUCCAAAGGCUGAGCACAGACCCAGUAUCUUUAACAUAGUACAGACAGACUUUGGGUUUUAAGACUCUCCUGCAGUAACCUUGAUGUCUACCCAUUUCUCCAGGCAGAUCUGGAUCCUGCCAUAGCUGCUGAACAAGCAUGAUUAUAGAAUCAGAAAGUAGCAGGUUGCUUCACCAGCAACUCAGAGGCUGAGGCAGAAGUUUCCCAAGUUUGAGGCCAGCCUCAGCAAUUUAGUAAGACCCGGUCUCAAAACUUAAAGGAGUGGGGGAUUGUGGCUCAGCAGUAGAGCACUUGCCUAGCAUGCACAGGGCCCUGGGUUCCAUCCUCAGCACUACAUAAAAGUAAAUGAAUGGAAUAAAGGUAUUGUGUCCAACUAAAUAAAAUAAAUAUUUUUUAAGAAAUUAAAAAAAAACUUAAGAGACUGGGCUGGGGUUGUGGCUCAGUGAUAAAGUGAUUGCCUAUAAUGUAUAAAGCACCGGGUUCAAUUCUCAGCACCACAUAAAAAUGAAUAAAGGUCCAACAACAACUAAUAAUAUAAUAAUAAAAAAAAACUUAAAGGACUGGGGGAUGUAGCUCUCUUGAACACAUCUCGUGUGUGAGAGGAAAGAGUUCCCCUCUGGAGGGAUGGGCUGGCUGAGAAAUAAAAGCUAAGAAAAUAGUAAUACAAAAUAACCACAGGACACCAGAAAUAUAUUUUCAGAGUGGAGGAAGCGACCAGUGGAGUGGACCAUAGGGGUGCAGCUUCUAACAAAGAAGCCCACUCUUGCUUUAUAUCAGAACAGAGUAAAAGGAUUUGAUACAAACUUAUUUGCAAAAACAGGAUGGGUGAAGGGCAGGUAGAGUGCUCAGUUCUUAAUGGGUCACUCCCUGCACAGGAAAUUUGCCAAAGCUGGGAAGAAAUUCACAUGCACUAGGCCAUCUAAAAACCAGCAGGGGUGCCACUGGAAGUUCCCAGAUACCAGAUUUUUCUACUCAGUGGUUUUCAUGCCAGUCUUGUCCAUGCACAUUUCACAGGUGUCUUCCCAAAUAUCUCCCCCCCCUGCCCUUUUUUUUUUUUUUUAACUUUUUAAAUUCAAAUGAUGGGCUCUUAUUUGAGUUUCUGGAUUCUUAUUCUGAUACAAAGAAGAANUGUCCAACUAAAUAAAAUAAAUAUUUUUUAAGAAAUUAAAAAAAAACUUAAGAGACUGGGCUGGGGUUGUGGCUCAGUGGUAAAGUGAUUGCCUAUAAUGUAUAAAGCACCGGGUUCAAUUCUCAGCACCACAUAAAAAUGAAUAAAGGUCCAACAACAACUAAUAAUAUAAUAAUAAAAAAAAACUUAAAGGACUGGGGGAUGUAGCUCUCUUGAACACAUCUCGUGUGUGAGAGGAAAGAGUUCCCCUCUGGAGGGAUGGGCUGGCUGAGAAAUAAAAGCUAAGAAAAUAGUAAUACAAAAUAACCACAGGACACCAGAAAUAUAUUUUCAGAGUGGAGGAAGCGACCAGUGGAGUGGACCAUAGGGGUGCAGCUUCUAACAAAGAAGCCCACUCUUGCUUUAUAUCAGAACAGAGUAAAAGGAUUUGAUACAAACUUAUUUGCAAAAACAGGAUGGGUGAAGGGCAGGUAGAGUGCUCAGUUCUUAAUGGGUCACUCCCUGCACAGGAAAUUUGCCAAAGCUGGGAAGAAAUUCACAUGCACUAGGCCAUCUAAAAACCAGCAGGGGUGCCACUGGAAGUUCCCAGAUACCAGAUUUUUCUACUCAGUGGUUUUCAUGCCAGUCUUGUCCAUGCACAUUUCACAGGUGUCUUCCCAAAUAUCUCCCCACCCUGCCCUUUUUUUUUUUUAACUUUUUAAAUUCAAAUGAUGGGCUCUUAUUUGAGUUUCUGGAUUCUUAUUCUGAUACAAAGAAGAAUUAGUUGCAAACAUAUCAUUCCAAUAAUAUACCAUGCAGAAUAUUUCAGCAUAUUUCCAGGAUUAAAGCCAUUCAAUUCAUGAAGUAUUUGAUCAGUUAGAGAUGUAGAGUCCCUAAUAUCCAUUUUUCCUUUUUGAAUAUCCUGGAUGUGAUGAUGUAAUUCCAUAAAACCCAGGCUAUUAUUAUUGCUCUGCCAAAAACCCAUUAGAUGAUUUUUAACCUUUUCCCCAGUCUCACUGGGAAGCUUGUGUGGGCCAUCAUCCUUGAGCUGCAUGUGGACCACCAUGCAUUGAGCCUAGUGGAUAGGAAUGUCUGGUGUCUGUGAAUGACCAGUGCAUAUUUCCUUUGGUUUAACUGCCCUGACACACUGUGAAUUUUCUUUUUUUUUUUUUAACAUUUUUUAGUUGUUGAUGGACCUUUGUUUUAUUUACUGGUAUGUGUUGCUGAGAAUCGAAUCCAGUGCAUCACACAUGCCAGGCAAACGCUCUGCCACUGAGCUACAAUCCCAACCCCACAUUGUGAAUUUUCUCUCCCUCUCUGCCAUGUCCCACACAGCACCCAAGAAGGGUCUGACCUGCGAAGAUGCCAAUCAACCUGCUGACUGCAAGACAUCACAAAGCAAGACUCCACCUUUGAAACUUUAUCCAUGCCUUUGAUGUACCCCCUGAAAUCAUUGGGGCCAUCUUUCCUUUGUCUAGUUGCAACUCUUUUUUUUUAAGAGAGAAUUUUUUUAAUAUUUAUUUUUUAGUUAUUGGUGGACACAACAUCUUUGUAUGUGGUGCUGAGGAUGGAACCCGGGCUGCAUGCAUGUCAGGCGAGCGCACUACCUACCGCUUGAGCCACAUCCCCAGCCCCAUAGUUCCAACUCUUAUGUGGACUGGAUCUAUCAGGGGCUUCAUUUUUUUAAAAAAGUUUUUUUUUUCUAAUUUGUUAUAUAUGACAGAAAAAUGUAUUUCAAUUCAUAUUCCACAUAUAGAGCACAAUUUUUCAUAUCUCUGCUUGUAUACAAAGUAUAUUCACACCAUUCAUAUCUUCAUACAUGUCUUAGGGUAAUGAUUUCCAUCUCAUUCCACCAUAUUUCCUAUCCCCAGGCCCCCUCCCUUUCCUUUGCCCUAUCUAGAGUUCAUCUAAUCCUCCCUUGCUCCCCCUCCCAACUCCACUAUGAAUCAGUCUCCUUAUAUCAGAGAAAAUAUUUGACAUUUGUUUUCUUGGGGGAUUGGCUAACUUCAUUUAGCAUUCUAUUCUCUAACUCCAUCCAUUUACCUGCAAGUGCCAUUAUUUUAUUCUCUUAUUGCUGAGUAAUAUUCCAUUGUGUAUAUAUGCCACAUUUUCUUUAUUCUUUCAUGUACUGAAGGGCAUCUAGGUUGGUUCCACAGUUUAGCUCUUGUGAAUUGUGCAGCAAUAAACAUUGAUAUCAGGGGCUCCACUUUUGUAAAUACAUUUCUGACUCUGUCUUUUGUUCUUCACUAAUUAUUUUAGACUUUUAAGUUCUCAGGUGGCUUACACCCUUCUGAACAAGAAGAACUCCCUAAUGAGAUGCUGGCUAUUGUUCCCUAUAGGAACAUUAUAUUUGGCUGCAGUAACACAGACAUAUUUCUAGUCAGCAUGGCAUUUAAGCCUUUAUUUAAACUUGAGCGCGCAUAGCUCAUUACUGAUAUUUAUGACAGUAGCUUCCAAGGCAUUCAAUUUAGUUUCACUCUUUCUAUCAGUAUUUAUCUGAUAAUGGAGGGCUUUGGAAGUAUUUUGAGCCAAAUUAUUGAGAAAAUUUGCAUAUUGAAUGUUCUGAGAUAGAGCCACUGACCUUGUUACAGUAAAAGCUGUAAAUGAGAUUAAAGCAGCCACUCCAAGAAUUAGGAGACCAAGAGCUCCUUUAGGUCUGGUUAACUGAACAUGGAUCUGUUGUAGAACUUGAACACCAGCAUCAGCAUACCAUGGUUCUGAAAUGUUGACUGGUAGUAAGACAAAGGAGGGUUGGUGAAGGAUUAACAUCUCUAUUAAAUCUAUUGAUGUAAUUAGUUAGAUUGCAUCUUUUACAGGCUAUAAGUAUAUCUAUAUUAUUCUUAAGUCUUACAUUUCCAGUAAUUAAAGCAUAAGGAAAUUCAACACAGGUUCAAAAGCCAUAGCAGGGACCCUCUUUGCAAUUCCUGCCAACAAAGUCAGGAAGAGGGCCAUCUGUAUAGUGUAGACACUGCAAUUAAACACCAGAGAUCUUUUUGAAUAAUGCCUUUGCUGAAGGUUAGAAUAUUAUCAACAAAACAUCCAGGGGUCAUGGCAUCCUUACAUAGUUAUCUUUUAUCAAUUAUUGAAGACCAGUCCAAAAUAUAUCCACUAUUUUUAGAAACUAUCUGUACUGACUGGCAAGACAUUUACACAUUCCAUCCAUUAAGGAAAUGUGCCAAAUUUUUACAUAAAUAUAAUUAUAUAGAUAAAUAUAUAUAUAUAUAUAUAUAUAUAUAUAUAUAUAUAUAUAUAUAUAUAUUAGUUGUAGAUGGACACAAUAUCUUUAGUUUAUAUAUAUAUGUGGUGCUGAGUUUUAAAUCCAGUGCCUCAUGCAUGCAAGGCAAGUGAUCUACCACUGAGCUACAACCCCAGUCCCAAAAUGUGCCAAAUUCUAUUGCAGAAUGAUUAGAGCAAUAAGGUAGUGGUAGUUUUGUUCUGUUGAAAUGACUGGCUUUUUAUGAAAAAGUCCAUAUAGUCCACAUAUAUAUGGACUAUAUGGACUGUCUCAUAAAAAUCUGGGAAAUAGGUCCAAUAAAUUUCUCCAUAGACCCCACUUACCUGACAACUCAAUAGAUCUAUCAUGGUCAUAAACAUUGUGGUUGGAAACUUAAUUUCUCCUUGUUGUUGAAUCAUCUGCUCAGCUUUUGCAUCAGAUUCUUCAGUUAUUUCCAUGAUGGUAGUUUGAGAGUUUGGUCUCUCAGGGUCUUUUUCAUUAUUUUCCUCCUUACUAGCUUCCUGUUCCUGCUGGGAGUCAGGGUUGACAUCUCUGGAUCUAUCUUUAGUGAUUUGAACCUUGGCUCCAUGUCCUCCAUAUAUGAUGGUACCCAAAUAACACCUUAUGGUAACUUCUGGGAAAAACCAAUCAUGACCUAUACCCCACAUUAUCACUGGAUCUGAUCCUUUCCACUGUCCUGUUGUAAAUCUUUUCAUCAAACUAGGCCCAAAAAACCUACGGCAGUAAUGCAACCUUCAGUGAAUGAACAAUGAUUAAGGUUAUUUUGUGGAGUCUUUUUUUUUUUUUUUUUAACAUGUGUGCUGUAAUUGAUAGAAUCAUUCAACAAAUCUUGCUUGUUACCAUUUCUGUUACAAACUUCUCAACAAAGUCUUUUUUUUUUUUUAAAGAGAGAGGAGAGAGAGAGAGAGAGAGAGAGAGAGAGAGAAUGUAUUUAUUUAUUUUUAGUUUUUUGGCGGACACAACAUCUUUGUUUGUAUGUGGUGCUGAGGAUCGAACCCGGGCCGCACGCAUGCCAGGCGAGCGCACUACCGCUUGAGCCACAUCCCCAGCCCUUUUGUGGAGUCUUAUUUCCCCACCUUUUGCUUUUGUAAUUGUGGUUUAAUAGAUAAAUUCAAUAGGUUUAGCACCUCCAACCUUCUAUGCAUUAUCACUAUUAAAUAAAACUUAUAAAUCAAUAUAACAUGCCGUCCUCAGUUAUCAAUGAUGAGGACUGGGUCAUAACAUUGCCCUCUAUACAAAAACAAAACCUCCCCGCAGGAACCAAGAAACGCUCACGUAGAGAAAACUCCCAUUACACUCUUCAGUGGAGCCUUAGCCCCUGCUUUGGCCGUGCUUUUUAGAAGGACGGGAACCCAAUGGUGCCCCUGCGAGAAUACAUUAAGACUUUUGCAGCAGGCCAGCUGAAAACAGGAACGAAAAAGAAACAAAUGCUGCGUCCCUCCUAAAUGUAGCAAACUGAAAACAUAAAAAAAGAAACACACUAUGGCAGUUUCCAACCCAGCCGCCGAGAACACCACAACCAUACAAGUAAAGACAAUCUUAUUUUAGACUCACGAAUUUAUCCCCCGAGGGGGGUGCACCGUUCCUGGAAGUACUGCAAUACCAGGUCGAUGCGUGGAGUGGACGGAGCAAGCUCCUAUUCCAUCUCCCUGCUCCAAAAAUCCAUUUAAUAUAUUGUCCUCGGAUAGAGGACGUAUCAGAUAUUAAACUGAUAAGAACAGAUACUACACUUGAUCUUAGCCAAAAGGCCGAGAAGCGAUAACGGGUUGAUGACCGGCACCCGUUCCACUCGUCGCGCCACACAUCUUCAGCUCACGGUGAGAACCGUCACGCUCAAUUAAAGACUCACCCUCACGCGAGUGUGACUGUGCAUAAAGGAUUCAACUUGGAAAACAUAAAAAUGUUGUCAGAUUAUUGCUAUUCGGGGGGAAACUUUCACCUUUUUCUUUGCUCCCAUAGCUCCCAGGAGAAAGAGACACUGUAAAUUUGCAUGUCCCGCCCCACACAAGCGGUGCCGGGCCUUCGGUGCCCGCCCUCUCGCCUUGAAAUAGAACACCGCCUCUAAAACAAUUUGCUAGAAAGCUCUUCCGGCCUCAUUGCCCCGGAACCAGGAUUUUCCUCCUGGACGAGGAAGACGCAAACAACUCUACGAGGUUUUUCUUCCCAGCAUUCUUCUUUGUUUUUAAUCUUUCAGUAUUUUCUUUUUUUAAGAGAUGAAGUCAACUUUCUGGAGGUUGAGGUGUCGGUCUCCAGAAUGUAGUCCCCGGAGGAACGCACGCUCUCGCGGCCUCAAGGGGUGGACAGAGUCUUGGCAAAGGGGGCCCUCGGAGGAUCUACGCCGUUAGCGGAGCUAAGUCCGCGGCUUCUAGGGCAGGAGGGGAGGAGCCUGGAAAGGCAGAGGAAACCGCUGGUUCAGACGCCGGUUCAACGACCGGCGUGGGACCCCCGAGUAGCUGGGGCGGGGUCACCAAGAGGAGACCCGGUGGGAGAGGGCGUGGCGAGCAGGUCGGGCGGGGACUUGUGGGCUCUCCUACUGGGGAGAAAGCGAGAGGCUCUGAGCGUGGGCCGCGGCGCGAGAGGGAGGUACCACGACUUAAUACUUCUGACUGGCCCGACGCGGGGGCGAGUGCAGAGAAGCGGAAAGGCCGGUGAGGAAAGGGGGAUUGCGUUCUCCCAGGAAAGAGAUAGUGAGCGCUUGGGCCCGGGGUUGUGGCAGUGCAGGGGGUGCGCAGUGGCCAGAUUCUGGUUGUAUUUUGAAAGUAGAGCCGCCGGCAUUUGCGGACAAUCGGGGAACAUAUGGGUGUGAAAGAGAAGAGUGGACGGUGACUCCAGCGGUUCUGGCCAGAGCUACUGGAAGGAAGGACACGGUUGUCAUAUUCUGAGUUGGGCGAGGACCAAGUUUGUCGAGGAGGCUGGAGGUGGAGGCGGAGCGAGGUGCGUGUUGCCCUGUUUGCAGCUCAGUUUAGGAGAGCACAAGCUAGAGAUGGCGCCCCAGAGAGUCAAGAGGAGGUGGCAGGUAGGCAGCUGGGUGUACCAGGCUGGACUGCAGCCUGGAGCUAUUUUGAGGACUGUCAGCAGAGAAGUGAGGACCCUCGGCCAGGAGUUGGGAGGAGCUCCCCAAGGGAGAGGGUGUCCAUCCGGCACAAGUAGAAGGGCGGAGCCGAGGCAUGAGCCCACAGUCAAGGACAUUAGAAGGACAGGCAGAAGGAAAAUCUGGAGAGCAAGGUGUUCUGGAAACCAAGCCCAGAAGGUAUUUCAAGAACGAGGGACCGCCCAACCCAGUAGAGAGCUGCUGAAGGAUUCCGGUGAGGUGGGGGGAUUGGAGAUGGACCUUGAGGAGAGCAGUGCACAAGAGACUGACUGGGGCAGGUUCAAAAGAGGGCAAGAUCCAAACCCAGGGUCAUUCUACAGAAUAAGUAUCCUGCAGUCUUCAAAGAAAGUGCCGGUUGUGAAAGACGGCGCAAAGGCAGAAGGGCACGGAACGAGAAUUGGCAACUAAAUGCAGCAAGGGAUUCCAGACUGGGUCCUGGGCCCGGAAAACAAAUCUCUCUAAAGGACGCUUUGGGAUAGCUGGAGAAAUCUGAACUUGGGAGUGUAGCUUAUAGUAUGGUGUUCAUGUCAAACUUCCAGAUGGCCAUGUUCCCAGGAAACACACACUUAAGUUUAUCUGGGGGGUGAAGGGACAUUGCAUGUGCAACCUACAAGUGGUUCAAUAAAGAAAAAUAUAUGGGUGGGUGUGUGUGCGUGGGUGUGUGUUUGGGGGGAGAAUAUUAUAAAAGGAGAGAGUUAUAAAGCAAAAUGUGGCCCUGUUGACGGUUGGCAGACCUGGGUAAAGGGUACGGAGAAAUUCUCUGUAUAACUCUUGUAACUUCCGUGUGUGUGUGUGUGUGUGUGUGUUUUGAAUGGGAGAUUGAACUGGGGCGGGGCGGGUCGCUUUACCAAUGAGCCAUAUCCCCAGCCCUUUGUUGAGACAGGGUUUCACUGAGUUACUUAGAGCCUCGCUCAAAUGCUGAGAAUGACCUGGAACUUGCUGUCCUCCUGCCUCAGCUUCCUGAGCCGCUGGGAUUACAGGAAUGCGCCACCACACCCCGCCAAGUGUGAAGUUAUUUUAAGAUUAUUUCAAUAAUGUAGAGAGAGGAUGAGAGGAAAGUUGGGAGGGAAAAAUAUAGACGACUGUUUGUGUUAUGGGCCAGGCUACAUGGGAAUGACCAAACAGACUUCAUUUUACUCUGAGACUCAUGUCAUAUAAGAAAUGCUUGUCCCAUGGGAAAGCCCCGCCCUCUGUACCCAUCAACAGUUAGUUUAGCAUGUUUGGCAACACAAAAUGGCAAUUCCUAUACAAUGUAAAAUUUUUCUCUCUUUGGUUCCCAUUUUGCUUGGACAAUGUACCCUCUCAGAGCAUGAUUGCUCAGCCGUUAGUAACCAUUCUUUAACUUGUACUCAACUAGGGUGGUUUUGACCCACUUCCCCUUCUCCUUAUGAUUUUGGAUCCCAUGACAUUUGUUUGUGGUUUUGAAUCAUAGCAACAGCCACUUAUGAUUAAUAUGGUUUUGGACUAUAAAAGGUGUACUCAAACCCCAGGAGGGGGUCGAAGGGUGUGGACUUGCAGCCUGGCCCUUGGCCUGCCAGCUGGUGGGUCCGGACUGCCGGCUGGUGAAUACAGAUGGUUCCGUCUCCUGCUUUUCGGUGAUUUAUUGCAACCUCGCCAUAACAUUUGGAGGAAUUUUCCUGCAAAAAGAGAAAUGGGGUGGUAGCUAGAGGGUGAAGUAGGUAGAGUUUAUGUUAAGGAGGAAAGAAAUAAUACAACUUACAUCCUGGUGGAAGAAGUCCAAUCCAGAAGCGAAUAUCGAUGAGGAGGGAGAAGAGAGUAGGAGAGAGUUGCCAGUGGCAAGGAGGGGUGCCCAGGUGCAGGGCAGGCCUUUGCCAGGAGCUGUGGCGGCUCAUCUGCAGCACCUGGGGGUGGGAGUGGGGUCACAGAUUUAAGAGGUGGGUGGAUACGUCCUGGGAACUCCUGGAAGCCUCCUGAUUGUAUCUGCAGGAUUUCCUCCUUGGGAAGCAAGGUAGUCAGUCAGCUGAGAGGGGGGCAGGUUGGAGAGGAAAGUAAGAAACAGAUGUCUGGAAAAGUGGAAGAUGAAUGGAGUAGGGAAGAAGAAGAUGAGUUAGCUGCUCUGCUCUGAGGGCAAAGUUACUCACCCCUUCUUCAACCUCCAGGGUGCGCGGGAUCCAGGGUUAUAGUUGUUCUUUGUUGUGGAUUGAAUGUUGAUGUCCUGCCCCCAGCCCCAACACCCAUUCCUGUGUAAAGGCCUAAACCCCCACUGGGGCUGUGUUUGGAUCUGGGGCCUCUGUGUAAGAAAGCGAUUAAGGAUAAAUGAGGUCAUAAGGGUGGGACCCUCAUCCAGUAGGAUUCCUGUGUUUAUAUGACAUCACAGGAAAGGGGCAAGGGAGCUGAGAAAAUAUGCAAAGAAAUUAAUCCAGGUAAAUGGAGAUGGAGGGAGCCUGGGGGCAGGGGAAGGGGAGGCAGAGGAAGAAUAGUGAAAGGUGGCAACUGGAAGGUGGUUAGAGAGUGUCAUACUAGAAGUGGACAAGGUUUAUAGCAGUUGUUAAGGACAAGAUCCAGAGCCAGACCACGGGAGUGGUUGGCUGGGGUAGGCCCAACGUCCAGCAAAGGUGUUGGAGAGAUAUUUGAUAGACAAAAAAUAGGAAAGAGUGGCUCUGGCCUGAUCAAGGAGCAACAGUAGGCGGGUACCUGGGAUAGGCUCGAGUGGUUGCUGAACAGGGAAAUGGAGGAACACGGGCUCAGGAGCCCAAUCGCCCCUCAAAAGAAAGAAAAGAAGAGCGGAAAAAGCAAAGAAGCAAGAAACGCACAGAGAAGAAAAUAAGCAGCAAAGAGAAUAAACAAAAGGGAAGACAGACCUAGAAAGGCAAAGUUCACUUAAACUGCUUUUGAACACUUCAUGGGUGAGGAGUACACCGGUCCUGGAAGUACUGCAAUACCAGGUCGAUGCGUGGAGUGGACGGAGCAAGCUCCUAUUCCAACUCCCUACUCCAAAAAUCCAUUUAAUAUACUGUCCUCAGAUAGAGGACGUAUCAGAUAUUAAACUGAUAAGAACAGAUACUACACUUGAUCUUAGCCAAAAGGCCGAGAAGCGAUGCCGUCCCACUCGCCCCUCGCCCUCACCGUCCUCCGCUGGCUCACUUUUAACUCGCGGUGAGCACCACGAUGCCUACUCCUACUCUCUUUUUCCUGGUGUCUCCUUGGGCAUCCCAUCGGGCCUACUAGACCUUCGUGAAGGUUCCCGAUUGGCCCCUUAGAUCGAGGAAUUUUAGCUGCCCUUGGCGGCUCUGGCGUUCAGGGGCGGGGGCGCCCUCCAAUACUUUGCAUGUCCCCGCCCCCUCACCGGAAAGGCGUGGCUACCGUGGGUCCCUUCCACCUGGCGACCGCUUCCAGGUCUCCAGGCAGCCCAGGGCGGGCUCUGCUCCCACUUCCAGACAUACCGAGACCAGAGAGGACCAGCGACUGCCGCUGACUCCGAGUCCAAGUCGGAGCCAGGAGCUCCGGAAAGCCAGAACUCGGUUUUGUUCCACGCACCUACUUCACACUCAAUCAGUAACUCUUCAGUGAAUGAGAUCGUGCCUCCCACACGCUCGGCCAAACCCCGACAAAUCGAGCUUGGGAUGGCUCCUUCUCAGUACUUCCCUGCUUCUUCAGGCCAUCUGCCCAAUGAUUCGCGUCCCCGUGUGCUUUCAUCCCGAGAAGGGGACGUCGCGGCUCCCCUUCACUGGAAUGGAACGCUUCCCGCCUCAAAUGAUUGACCUUUCGGUUUUCUCCUUGUGAUUCACUCCCGUGGAGUUUGCUCAGAUCCACGUGCACUCAAUGGGCUGGGCCCUGGUCGCGCUGUGUGCAGAGGUUGGCCGGAUGUCCUUGUGCUUUUAAUGAAAGCGCACCGCGGUGUCCUGGUGAUCCCGACCACCCUCGCUGCACCUGAACCUUGAAUUUCUAGGGGAUCCAGAACGUGGAGGGAGUUCUCAGGCAGCGCCACUCGCUCCAGCCUGGUCCUCAACACCUCAAACUUGGGAUUGCUUGCUUUGGGGCGGUCUGGGCCGGGGAUGGGGGCAGGUGGAAAACAGUCUAAGGCAAUAGAUACUUUUUUUUUUUUUUUGGUACUGGAGACUCAAUUCACGACCCUUAGCCACUGAGCCACAUACCCACCCCACCCCACCCCCUUUAAAAAAAAUUAUUUUCUAGUUGUACACAAUAACUUUAUUUUGUUUAUUUAUUUUUAUGUCGUGGGAGGCCAACCUUACACGUGACUGAGUUACACUCCCCGACUGGGUGCUGAGGCGCUCAGUCACAGAAAUGUGGCACCCUUCUUGGAUGCGAGGGUCGGUGUCUUGUGCAUGGGUGUGUCUUGCUACAGCCCCAUGGGUGAAGCUAUGCUCACCUGUUCCUUUGUAAUAGAACCCCUUGCCCUGUUAAGGAUAGAAUCUUCCAUGGAAGUGCCUUGUGUGUGUCCCCUUCUCUUACUGUGCCCUUGGGUGUGGCCUACCCAGGUGUCAGUCAACCUACUGACAGUGGACAUCAUGAAGAUACUCAGCCCCCUGAAACCUGACCCCUUGCCUCAUUUGAAUAGCUUCUCCUCAAUAAAAGGGGUCAGCGCGUGCUCUCGCUCUCUCUCUUUCUGCGGACCCUUAAGGUCAGAGGAGCCGUCACAGCAACCCCAAAGAAAAAGGUA
This 17252-nucleotide long non-coding RNA is filed under the name Marmota monax (woodchuck). Lineage: Eukaryota; Metazoa; Chordata; Mammalia; Rodentia; Sciuridae. The record is from RNAcentral.